RNAcentral lists this small RNA (147 nucleotides) under Burkholderia stabilis. RNAcentral's name for it is "sX4". The stretch from base 12 to 99 matches the Rfam family "tRNA". Rfam says of the family: Transfer RNA (tRNA) molecules are approximately 80 nucleotides in length. Their secondary structure includes four short double-helical elements and three loops (D, anti-codon, and T loops). Lineage: Bacteria; Pseudomonadati; Pseudomonadota; Betaproteobacteria; Burkholderiales; Burkholderiaceae. The record is from RNAcentral.
CUCGGUCUUCCGGAGAGAUGGAUGAGUGGUUUAAGUCGCACGCCUGGAAAGCGUGUAUAGGUUAAUCGCCUAUCGGGGGUUCGAAUCCCCCUCUCUCCGCCAGAUGAUGGCAAAAACCCCGCUAAGUCAACGACUUGCGGGGUUUUU